CCUACGGGUGGCAGCAGUGGGGAAUAUUGGGCAAUGGGGGGAACCCUGAUCCAGCGACGCCGCGUGAGUGAAGAAGUAUUUCGGUAUGUAAAGCUCUAUCAGCAGGGAAGAAAAUGACGGUACCUGACUAAGAAGCCCCGGCUAACUACGUGCCAGCAGCCGCGGGAAUACGUAGGGGGCGAGCGUUAUCCGGAUUUACUGGGUGGAAAGGGAGCGUAGGCGGUGCAGCAAGUCAGAUGUGAAGGGUCGGCGCCCAACCACGGGACUGCAUUGGAAACUGGUGAACUGGAGUACCGGAGAGGUUAGUGGAAUUCCUGGUGUAGCGGUGAAAUGCGUAGAUAGUAGGAGGAACACCAGUGGCGAAGGCGACUUACUGGACUGUAACUGACGUUGAGGCGCGAAAGCGUGGGGAGCAAACAGGAUUAGAUACCCCAGUAGUC
RNAcentral lists this ribosomal RNA (440 nucleotides) under uncultured bacterium. RNAcentral's name for it is "partial 16S ribosomal RNA". It matches the Rfam family "Bacterial small subunit ribosomal RNA", at positions 338 to 795 of the family's 1533-position model. The record is from RNAcentral.